This 274-nucleotide ribosomal RNA is filed under the name uncultured bacterium. RNAcentral's name for it is "partial 16S ribosomal RNA". It matches the Rfam family "Bacterial small subunit ribosomal RNA", at positions 523 to 796 of the family's 1533-position model. The record is from RNAcentral.
AUACAGAGGGUGCGAGCGUUAAUCGGAAUUACUGGGCGUAAAGCGCGCGUAGGCGGCUUGGUCAGUCGGAUGUGAAAGCCCCGGGCUCAACCUGGGAAUGGCAUUCGAUACUGCCAGGCUAGAGUAUGAGAGAGGGAAGUGGAAUUUCCGGUGUAGCGGUGAAAUGCGUAGAUAUCGGAAGGAACACCAGUGGCGAAGGCGACUUCCUGGCCCAAUACUGACGCUGAGGUGCGAAAGCGUGGGGAGCGAACAGUAUUAGAUACCCGAGUAGUCC